Non-coding RNA from Myotis davidii, 75 nucleotides. The record is from Rfam. NCBI's taxonomy places the organism in Eukaryota, Metazoa, Chordata, Mammalia, Chiroptera, Vespertilionidae.
GGCGGUUCUCAGGUGAUGCACCCUGAAAUCGGGCUCCCUCUUCUCUGGUUUCGAGUGUGUCACUCGAGAACCACA